CAGCCGCCGCGGGAAUACGAAGGGGGCUAGCGUUGUUCGGAUUUACUGGGCGUAAAGGGCGCGUAGGCGGACUGAUAAGUCAGGGGUGAAAUCCCAAGGCUCAACCUUGGAACUGCCUUUGAUACUGUUUGUCUUGAGUUCGAGAGAGGUAAGUGGAACUGCGAGUGUAGCGGUGAAAUGCGUAGAUAUUGGGAGGAACACCAGUGGCGAAGGCGGCUUUCUGGACUGUAACUGACGCUGAGGCUCGAAAGCCAGGGGAGCGAACGGGAUUAGAUACCCCUGCAGUCCCUGUCUCUUAUAU
RNAcentral lists this ribosomal RNA (301 nucleotides) under uncultured bacterium. RNAcentral's name for it is "partial 16S ribosomal RNA". It matches the Rfam family "Bacterial small subunit ribosomal RNA", at positions 509 to 808 of the family's 1533-position model. The record is from RNAcentral.